UUUUUUUUUUUUUUUUUUUUUUUUGCCUUUUAUUGCCACAUCUGUGGCAUGGAAGGUCCCAGACUAGGGACCCAAUUGGAGCUGCAGCUGCCAGUCUACACUACAGACAUAGCAAUACCAGAUCCAAGCUUCAUCUGUAACCUUUACCAUAGCUCAUACAUCACCGGAUCCUUAACCCACUGAGCAAGGCCAGAACUACUGUAACCAACUGAGCCACAAUAGGAACUCUCUGGCAAAUAGUUCUUUUAAAAGUACACACAGGAGUUCCUGUCAUAGCUCAACGGUUAACAAACCUGACUGGCAUCCAUGAGGACGCAGGUUCGAUCCCUGGCCUCGCUCAUGGGCUAAGGACCCAGCGUUGCAGUGAGCUGUGGUGUAAGUCACAGACACAGCUUGGAUCCUGCAUUGCUGUGACUGUGGCUUAGGCCAGUGGCUACAGCUCUGAUUCUACCCCUAUUCCGGGAGACUCUGGAGGCCGCAUUUGCGGCCCUAAACAGCAAAAAAAAAAAAAAAAAAAAAAAAAAAAAAAGGAGAGAACCAGACUGUUGAAAAAUUCAUCUAGGCAGUAGGUCUAUUAGAUGGUAGCCAUUUAAGAGCCCUAAAUAUAUUUAUCCUUUAUAUUCUAUUUUCUCAAAUCUAGUAUGAUUUAUACAGCUUAACACGUCUAUUACAUUUUUUGUGUCUAUCUUUUUAGGGCCACACCUGCAGCAUAUGGAAGUUCCUGGGCUAGGGGUUGAAUUGGAGCCACAGGUACCACCCCACACCAGGGCCACAGUAAUGAAAGACUGGAGCUGGAGUUCCCGUCGUGGCGCAGUGGUUAACAAAUCCGACUAGGAACCAUGAGGUUGCGGGUUCCGUCCCUGCCCUUGCUCAGUGGGUUAAUGAUCCGGCAUUGCCAUGAGCUGUGUUGUAGGUUGCAGACACGGCUCGGAUCUAGCAUUGCUGUGGCUCUGGCGUAGGCCGGUGGCUACAGCUCCGAUUCAACCCUUAGCCUGGGAACCUCCAUAUGCCGCGGAGCGGCCCAAGAAAUAGCAAAAACAAACAAACAAAAAAACAAACAAACAAACAAACAAAAAACUAAAAAAAAAAAAAAAAAAAAAAAAAAAAAAAAGACUGGAGCUGCAUCUUCAACCUAUGCUGCAGCUUGCAGCAACAUUGGAUCCAUAACCCACUAAGCGAGGCCAGGGAUCAAAACCAUAUCCUCACUGAUACUAGUCAGGUUCAGAACCCGCUGAGCCACAACAGGAACUCCUCUAUUACAGCUUUUAAAGAAGGCAUAUAUCAAUUGUAAAACAAUACUUAAAUAUAUAUUUUGAAGUUACUUUAGGAUAGAGAAAAUAUAUUCAAUAACAAACAGCCUAAAAGAAAAAGAAUGCUUAAUGAUUAAGAGCAUGGGCUCUUCAGUCAUACAAACGUAACUGAAUCCUGUUUGAACACUACUAGCUGUGUGGCUCUGGGUAAGGUCCUCAACUUCUCCCUAUUCCAGUUUUUCUAUUUGCAAAAUACAGAUGGAAAAUCAACCUUAUCAUUGAGUACCUAUGUGCUAGACACAUAUGUGCCUAAUAACAGUGUUUCACACAUAGCUGAUAUUUAGUAUCAGCUAAUAUUAGUUGUCAAUAUCACAAAUCUAGAGUCUUAUGAGAGAAAACAAGAGAGUUUAAUUGUGCUAAUAUAGGUUGAACCCAGUUAUGCCACUUCCUAUAAAAACUCACAAUUUCUUUCCAGUGGGGAUAGGGGUAGGAGGAAAGGGCAAGAUGGCAAGAGAAUUGACAUACAAAUGACUACGUAUAAAAUAAGCCACAAGGAUAUAUUGUACAGCACAGGAAUACAACCAAGAUUUUUUAACUACAAAUGGAGAAUAACCUUUAAAAACUGUGACUACGUUGUACAUCUAAAACAUAAAAUACGCAAAGCUAAAUGUAAAAAACCAUUUUCGAUGGGGAAAAAAAAACUUUUAAAUGAAAACAAAAACUUACAAUUUUUUAAAUGAAGCGACCCAGAAUUUUACUCUUCUCUCUACUGUUCUACAAUCAGAAACAUAGCAUCUAAGAUGAAAUUUCUGUUUUAUGGCCCCACGCACAUCAUGUGGAGGUUCCCAGGCUAGGGGUUGAAUUGGAGCUGUAGCUGCUGGCCUACACCACAGGAGCAGCAACACAGAAUCUGAGCCAUCUGCAACCUACCCCAACAGCCCAUGGCAACACUGGAUCCUCAUCCCACUGAGCAAGGCCAGGGAUCAAACCUGCAUCCUCAUAGACGAUAAACAGUCAGGUUCGUAACCCACUGAGCCACAACACGAAUGCCAAGAUUUCAGUUUUUUAAAAUCUCAAGUGGCAUUUGUCUGGAGCAGGAGUCACUGGAUUUAUUAACUUGCCCUUACAGUGAUCUUAGAGUUCAUUCUCACCUUCCCAGAAAAGAGCAAAAUAAAACUUUGGAGAUUUUUUUUCUGGCCACUCAUCUCAGAACCUCAGCCUAGGAAUAAACCCAUUUAUUGGUGCUCCUAACAUUUUACAAAACUCUGAGUUUAAAACUUUUUCAAAACAACUAUCAAGAAAAUCAAAUUCAAAACAAAUUACUAACUCAAGUUUCUGUUGAAUUCAACUGAUCCUCAAAGAUGACUAAACCAAGAGCUGGGGAAAAAAAACCUCCACAUUUCCAGACCACAGAUAUAGGAAGUGGAGUUAACACAGGACUGUCACCUUUCUCCAGUCUUCCCUCACAACUGUCCUCCUUUAUGAAGACCUGUACCAAUCAUCACUCUCCUUCCUAAGUGCCUUUCUUCAUUGGUUUCUUUGGAUGGCAAGUU
Molecule: long non-coding RNA, 2803 nt
Filed under: Sus scrofa (pig)
Lineage: Eukaryota; Metazoa; Chordata; Mammalia; Artiodactyla; Suidae
Description: lncRNA (ENSSSCG00030063399.1)
Source: RNAcentral